Molecule: ribosomal RNA, 232 nt
Filed under: uncultured bacterium
Lineage: Bacteria
Description: partial 16S ribosomal RNA
Rfam family: Bacterial small subunit ribosomal RNA
Source: RNAcentral
CGGGACGGGUGAGUAAUGUCUGGGAAACUGCCUGAUGGAGGGGGAUAACUACUGGAAACGGUAGCUAAUACCGCAUAACGUCGCAAGACCAAAGAGGGGGACCUUCGGGCCUCUUGCCAUCGGAUGUGCCCAGAUGGGAUUAGCUAGUAGGUGGGGUAAGGCUCACCUAGGCGACGAUCCCUAGCUGGUCUGAGAGGAUGACCAGCCACACUGGAACUGAGACACGGUCCAG